ACAUGGGUUAGACUGUGAUUGUUCCCAUAUUGUUGGUAGGGAAACUGAGGCAUGCAGGUGUUACAGAGCUCUCUCAAGUGGCAAGCUUUCUGGGUGGUUACAGAGUGGCAGAGCUGGGGUAUCCCAUGAUGUCACCACACUGCUAUAUGGAAAAGAACAUUAAUCGAGCACCUACGUGCUUGAUUCUCUUAAUUCUGUGACUGAACUCUCAAAACACCCUGGAUUGUCUACUUCCCCUCCUAGACUGUACUCUCCACAAGAGAGCAAAGCUGUGUCUGUUGCAUUCACUGUUGUCUUCCCAGAAGCAAGCAGCAUGCUGGAGACCCUCAAAUACAUGUGAAAUGAAGGGACACCUUGUGUUAUUUCACCUGUUUCCACCUGGUUCCCAAGUGGCAAGCUUGCAUUGAGGUUACAAAGUGGCAAAGCUGGGAUAUCACAUGAUGUCACCAUGAUGCUAUAUGAAAUGUAACAUUAAUUGAGUACCUAUGUGACCAGUUCUUUAAUUCUGUAAGUGAACUCUCAAAAAACCCUAGGUAAGUAUUAUCAACUCGAACUUUAACGGAUGAGGAAACUGGAAUUUUUUAAAAAAUGACUUAACCAAACAUCACAGAGCUGUAAACCAGGAUUUGAAUGGGUGAGCUGCACUCAGCCUUCAUCUCAAGUCAGUUUGCCUCUUUCUCCAAGAAGCCACAGUUGAUCCUGACCACAUCACAUAUGAGUUGCCUGGAUUGCAGUCAUUCAUUCACUAAGCAUCUUUUAGGAGGUCACAUGCCAGGCACCGUGUUAGAGCACUGCGUGUUUUGAAAUAUACAAAUAGUGGGAAACGAAAUCUUUGUUCUGGAUGCAGUUAUAAUUUGGAAAGCGAGGAAAUAAAUUAUAACAAGGGGAAAAAACAGACACAGAGGGAUUGAAAUGCAUAACAAUAGAGAUGAAACACGAAGAGUGAUAAAUGAAGAUUGAGUGUGCACACCUUCUGGAGGAGCCCUGAUUGAGUAUUUUAAAAUACUACUAAAGUCAUGCCGUGUGACUUCUGAAGCUAGCUCCUAAGAAGUCCUUGCAGCUUCUGCCUGCGACUCUUAGAACACUUGCUUUGAAGGAUGCCAGAUGCUGUCUUAAAAGUCUGAGCACUCUGAAACCAUCAUGCUGUGAGGAAGCCCAAGCUAACCACAUGGGCAAAAAAGAUGCCCUCUGACUGCCACCAUUUGAGACACUCUAAUUAAGAACUGCCUCAUUGAGCCCAUGAGGCCCUGUGAAUGAUAAUAAUAAAUUGUUUUUAACCACUA
This 1283-nucleotide long non-coding RNA is filed under the name Homo sapiens (human). Its description in RNAcentral is "long intergenic non-protein coding RNA 964". The record is from RNAcentral. Lineage: Eukaryota; Metazoa; Chordata; Mammalia; Primates; Hominidae.